Triticum aestivum (bread wheat) is the source of this 2204-nucleotide long non-coding RNA. RefSeq lists it as uncharacterized. The record is from RefSeq and is a predicted model, not a curated record. Lineage: Eukaryota; Viridiplantae; Streptophyta; Magnoliopsida; Poales; Poaceae. The transcript has 3 exons.
UGGGAUCCCCAAUUUGUUUUCUUUGUUCUUGCUUUUCCCGUGAGUACCACCCUGUGUCUCUAGUAUAUCGAACUGCUAAUUUGCUGUAACUUGAGAGUUGUACCAUUGGUAGUUGUUGUGGAGUGGUUUGGACAUGUUGUUGAUCUGAAGCAUAACCUGAUCCUCCCUGCAAAAAAAAGGAGAAGCAUAAGUUGAUCCCUUCUCACUUAAUCAGAACCUUUUUGUGUAAGAAGAGCGUGUAGUAUUACAUAGGUUACUAGUUGGAUCCUAUACUACUGACAACCAAAGCAAUCAUACCUUGCUUUAUUUUCUAAUUCUUUGGCCCGGUCGAUGGCUAGAUUGACAUGGUACUUUAGUUCCUGAAUUCUAAGCAUGCAAGUUUCUGAAUUCUAGGUCAGCAUCAGCAUCAUGAGUUAAUCAGGUAUAUGUGUAACCAGCUAUACUGAUGAUAUUGCUAUAAUAAAUAAUAAUUCUGGAGUACCACCUCUUUUUGUAGCUAGCAUGUAGGCUAUAAGCUCUCGUUGAUGCUAUAGAUGGCCGGGUCGGUUUCAAUUUUUUGGGGAGAAAAUUAGAUUCUAACCUAGUUUGUAGCAGGUUUGAUAGGUAUAUAACUCACUACAUAAAAGUCACUUGCAUAGUCAAAGGACUGAAGUGAAAUAUUCUCAUUGGAAAAAUUUGCAACUAUAAAUUAUCAAAUUUCAAAUGCAUAAUGAGAUUAUUCUAAGCUUAACACAGCACGCUCAGCAUUUCAUAAAUAUUGUUGGAUUAUCAAGUAUGCAGUAGGGGAUAAAUUUUUAACAGGUUGCCUAUAAUGCCAACUUUUUCCAGGUAAAUAACAUGUUCCUUUCCGUUCUUUUUUUCCUUCAGAUAGUAAUACAUUUUAAUAUGUGGCCUCAAAAUCUGGAAGACGAAAUUCAUUCAUUUAUAUAAGUUUCUUUGCUGUGUUCCCUCCCUGUCAUUUGAAUGCGCCAUUCGCUGAGCAAUUUACAGUAGCUUGCACUUGUGGUUAAACAUUCAGGUCAAAAAUAUACCUGCUGCAUGGCCUAUGCCUUCAAUUUAGUGUACUAGCUGAAGCACAACAAUGCAUGGUCUAAGGCGAUCUCGUGCAGUAUGAUAAUGUGAUGAAUCAUUCAUUCAUAUAUGUGUUCAGAUGCUUCUUUCCAAACAAAUGAAAUGCGUUCAGAUGCAUGUCUUUGGUUCUUGUUUUUCAGUUUUUUUCUUGGGACAGAGAAGUAGUAUGUAUUGCACGUAUCUCCAGAUGAGAUAGAAGAUAGAUAUAUUUAUGUGUCAGAUACUACUGUCUGACUAUUUGUGGUAAUAAGUAUUGGUGUUAAGUAGAAUCUCCAUUUGUGUUACCAUCACAGGACCAUUAACAGUCAGAUGUGAGCCAUAUAUUUGAUAUGAAGCAAGUUGUCUGAGGAUGUUCACUACCCACCUAAUUUGAGCUCUCUAUUUCCAUAUGCAGGUAAAUCCUAGAAUGUUGGGAUAUAUUGACAUGUGCACGUAGACAUUCCCUUGGCAUUCAUGAUAUUUAUAGAUGUAUUCACCCUUUAGAUAUGGCAUCAUUAUUUUCUCUUACUCAUUUCCUUCACUUCAAAAUAUCCAGGCCUUGAUUUCCCUAGUUACCUUGCUGCUGUUUCUGUUGGGUAUAUGAUUCCACAUGUGCCAUUUAAUAUGAACUGUGGACCUAAUGGGUAUGCUGUUGUUGGUGGUGGUGCUGGCAGGUACCAAAACAACAAGGUUUGUGUCUGGUGUCUCGAUCACUAUCAGGCCAAGGGUGGUUGAUACAUGUCUUCACACUUUUCAUAGCAACGUGCAGUGGAAGAAGCAACCUAUGAAAUGAAAUAGUUUGCAUAAGAAACAGGCGAUGUACUCAACCAUCUACUGUGCAUGGAUGUGAUGACUUCGGAGUGUUCAGCAGCAUUUGGCUGUUUGCGGUAUUUUGGACCAGCUAACUUGUGAUCAUGAAUCUUAUGUCUGUUCUGGACCAUUUGGUGCUUCCAAGUGUUUUCGGGCAUAUAUCUUGUGCUCAUGGGUGUGACUUUAUUCUGGACCAUUUAGUGUUUGAACUCCUUUAGAACAACAAAUAGUGGUCCUUUUAUGUGGCUUCUGUUUUCUGGAUGGUGGUCCAAAUGGCCAAACUUUGCUUUGUCAAGACUGUCCUGUUUUUGAACUUAUGAUCAAUAUAUGCAUGUUUGUGAACA